Non-coding RNA from Caenorhabditis elegans, 116 nucleotides. The record is from Ensembl. Lineage: Eukaryota; Metazoa; Nematoda; Chromadorea; Rhabditida; Rhabditidae.
ACUCAUAGUCCAGGAUAAUCUUCAAAAAGACACUGCAGUUUUUUUUUGAUUUUACAAAAUUUUGAAAGUUUUGAUAAACUGUCCAAUAUUUGUGGUAAAUUGCCAACUUUUUCAGU